AGCCUUAAGAUUAAUAUUUAAGGUGAAACCUGCUCAAUGCACAAUGUUGUUAAUAGCCGCAGUACCUUGACUGUGCUAAGGUAGCAUAAUCAGUUGGCUUUUAAAUGGAGUCGGGAAUGAAAGGAUAAAUAGGGUUAAGCUGUCUCUUAUAUAAUUUAUUUAAUUUACUUAUUAGGUGAAAAUGCCUAUUUUAAGAAAAAAGACGAGAAGACCCCUGGAGUUUUUACUAAAUAGUUUUAUAAACUUACUGUUUUUGUUGGGGCGACAUUAGGAAAAUUAAACUCCUAUGAAUUAUUUGACGAUUAUUAUAAGUAAAAGAAAACUACCCUGGGGAUAACAGCGUAAUUUAUUAAAGUUUGCGACCUCGAUGUUGGAUUAGGAAUUUUUUAGGUUAGCCGCCUAUUUCUAUUGUUCUGUUCGAACUUAAUUUCC
RNAcentral lists this ribosomal RNA (432 nucleotides) under Gascoignella nukuli. RNAcentral's name for it is "partial 16S ribosomal RNA". It matches the Rfam family "Bacterial large subunit ribosomal RNA", at positions 1829 to 2595 of the family's 2925-position model. The record is from RNAcentral. Lineage: Eukaryota; Metazoa; Mollusca; Gastropoda; Platyhedylidae.